Molecule: ribosomal RNA, 891 nt
Filed under: uncultured Bacillota bacterium
Lineage: Bacteria; Bacillati; Bacillota
Description: bacterial SSU rRNA
Rfam family: Bacterial small subunit ribosomal RNA
Source: RNAcentral
GAACGCUGGCGGCGUGCUUAACACAUGCAAGUCGAACGGGGUGUUUAUUUCGGUAAACACCAAGUGGCGAACGGGUGAGUAACGCGUAAGCAAUCUACCUUCAAGAUGGGGACAACACUUCGAAAGGGGUGCUAAUACCGAAUGAAUGUAAGAGUAUCGCAUGAGACACUUACUAAAGGAGGCCUCUGAAAAUGCUUCCGCUUGAAGAUGAGCUUGCGUCUGAUUAGCUAGUUGGUGAGGGUAAAGGCCCACCAAGGCGACGAUCAGUAGCCGGUCUGAGAGGAUGAACGGCCACAUUGGGACUGAGACACGGCCCAGACUCCUACGGGAGGCAGCAGUGGGGAAUCUUCCGCAAUGGGCGAAAGCCUGACGGAGCAACGCCGCGUGAACGAUGAAGGUCUUAGGAUCGUAAAGUUCUGUUGUUAGGGACGAAGGAUAAGGAUUAUAAUACAGUCUUUGUUUGACGGUACCUAACGAGGAAGCCACGGCUAACUACGUGCCAGCAGCCGCGGUAAUACGUAGGCGGCAAGCGUUGUCCGGAAUUAUUGGGCGUAAAGGGAGCGCAGGCGGGAAACUAAGCGGAUCUUAAAAGUGCGGGGCUCAACCCCGUGAUGGGGUCCGAACUGGUUUUCUUGAGUGCAGGAGAGGAAAGCGGAAUUCCCAGUGUAGCGGUGAAAUGCGUAGAUAUUGGGAAGAACACCAGUGGCGAAGGCGGCUUUCUGGACUGUAACUGACGCUGAGGCUCGAAAGCUAGGGUAGCGAACGGGAUUAGAUACCCCGGUAGUCCUAGCCGUAAACGAUGGAUACUAGGUGUGGGAGGUAUCGACUCCUUCCGUGCCGGAGUUAACGCAAUAAGUAUCCCGCCUGGGGAGUACGGCCGCAAGGUUGCAA